Molecule: RNase P RNA, 565 nt
Filed under: Phycisphaeraceae bacterium
Lineage: Bacteria; Pseudomonadati; Planctomycetota; Phycisphaerae; Phycisphaerales; Phycisphaeraceae
Description: RNase P RNA component class A
Rfam family: Bacterial RNase P class A
About the family: Ribonuclease P (RNase P) is a ubiquitous endoribonuclease, found in archaea, bacteria and eukarya as well as chloroplasts and mitochondria.
Source: RNAcentral
AGGCGCGGCAAGGCGGCCGCGAGCGCACCACGGUGGUGCGUCUUGAGGAAAGUCCGAGCACGAAAGGACACGGUGGUGGGUAACGCCCACCCGUCCGGAACGGCCGAAAGGACGGUCCCGGGCGAGGGACAGUGCAACAGAAAGCAAACCGCCGAUGGCCCCUGAUCGGGCCGGGUCACGCCCGGUGCGAAAGGGGGAUCAGGCAAGGGUGAAACGGUGCGGUAAGAGCGCACCGCUCCCCGGGCGACCGGGGAGGCACGGCAAACCCCACCGCGUGCAAGGUCACGCAGCUCCCGCGAGGGUGGCACGCCUCUCCGAGGCGGGAUCACACUCGACGCCUCGUCCGGGCGGAAGGGGAGCGGGUAGACCGCAGGACCCGUCCCGAUCAUCCGCAAGGGUGCUCGGCCGGGCCCGCCGCCGAAAGGCGGUGAGAGAAAUGGCCGCCCACGCCGGCAGGCCCGUUCUUUGGUGGCACGCCUCUCCGAGGCGUGUCCCCGAGCCCCCGUCAAGGUUUGAACGGGAACCACCGGCUGGACAGAACUCGGCUUAGCCGCCGCGCCGGACC